RNAcentral lists this ribosomal RNA (98 nucleotides) under Pteropus alecto (black flying fox). The record is from RNAcentral. Lineage: Eukaryota; Metazoa; Chordata; Mammalia; Chiroptera; Pteropodidae.
GUCUACGGCCAUGCCAUCCUGAACAAGCCCGAUCCCAUCUGAUCUCGGAAGCUAAGCAGGGAUGGGAGAUCACCUAGGAAGACCAGGUGCUGUAGGUG